Long non-coding RNA from Cyprinodon tularosa, 812 nucleotides. RefSeq lists it as uncharacterized. Lineage: Eukaryota; Metazoa; Chordata; Actinopteri; Cyprinodontiformes; Cyprinodontidae. The transcript is spliced from 3 exons. The record is from RefSeq and is a predicted model, not a curated record.
CCAAACAAAGCCAUGAAAUCAACAUGCAGGUUUUGGUGCUACCUAGCAACAAAUCUGGAGCUACAAUAUUCAGUGUUGCUCAUCAACUCAGUGAUUGACAGCUUCAUCCAACUUCUUCAUCGCUUUUAUUUGGAUCCGGCCUUUACAGGCACUACAAAACUCUUUCAACUCAGGGACGAAGCACCCAUCUCCUUUCUCCACGAUGGUGUUAAAACUUGUAUACAAUUGUUUCACUAGAGGAUUGUGGCACAUUCAGUCAUCUGAAAACUGGACCGAAGGAUGAACCAGGAUUGUGGAGUUUGCAGUUAUUUUCCUGUUAUCUUGGUUAUUGGUUUUGAUUGCCAAAGGUUGUCACAUAAUGAAGCAAUGUCUGGGGGGGUUGCCUUGGAGUUAAACCAUCAGUGUUCCUCAUAUUUUAGGAAUGUGACCACACCGAGCAGUACUAGAUGGUAAAAUAGCUUUUUUGACUCUUAUAUUAUUAUUAUUAUUAUUUUUUUUUUUUUAAGUACUUCAUUUUCAACAUUUGCAGCAAAGAGGCUUUGGACAUUUUUCUCCUCUGCAGAUAGGAUUGUUUCUGACAAUGUUUUAUUUUGGGACAUUUGGUAUAAUGUUUUGGAAUCGUGCUCGGACAUGUUGCUGAAAUUAGACAAUUUAGAUGAAUUUCAAUAUGUGUAUCAACCGCUGACAUACCUGCGCACCUGCACAUAAAUGUGAGGAACCCGUCUUAUAGAGAUCCUUCAGUGCUUUGAAAAUGUGUUCAUUUUUACAUUUACAGGUAUGUGGGCUUGUUUAGGUGUUCGUAUGUUUUAGCG